ACCUUUUGGUAACUUGAAGCAACAAGGAAUUGGUACACAGAUUCAAGACUGAAAUGAAGAAGGUUUUUUAGAUGACAUACUUAGGAAAGUGGAAUGGAGGUGCAUCAAUGGUGAAGAUGGUAUGUUCAUCAAUCAAGAGAAGUAUGCCAAAGAAAUCUUAAAGAAAUUUGGUAUGGAAAAUUGCAAAUCCCAUUUGGAACUCACUGGCCUAAAAUGAAAAGCUAAU
RNAcentral lists this long non-coding RNA (226 nucleotides) under Carica papaya (papaya). RNAcentral describes it as "long non-coding RNA (CPAP_LNC011756)". Lineage: Eukaryota; Viridiplantae; Streptophyta; Magnoliopsida; Brassicales; Caricaceae. The record is from RNAcentral.